This 115-nucleotide small nuclear RNA is filed under the name Suricata suricatta (meerkat). RNAcentral's name for it is "U2 spliceosomal RNA (ENSSSUG00005000753.1)". It matches the Rfam family "U2 spliceosomal RNA". From Rfam's summary of the family: U2 is a small nuclear RNA (snRNA) component of the spliceosome (involved in pre-mRNA splicing). Lineage: Eukaryota; Metazoa; Chordata; Mammalia; Carnivora; Herpestidae. The record is from Rfam by way of RNAcentral.
AUUGCUUCUCAGCCAUUUAGCUAAGAUGAAGUAUAGUAUCUGUUCUUAUCAGCUUAAAUGGUAAAUGAGAAGAAUAUGUCUUAUUGUAAUAAAUUACUAGAGUUUGGCAUUUUCA